ACCACCGAAGACAUGAGAAGAAUAUCUGUGAUUAAGGGAAGGGAGGGAGGAUCUGGGUUUGGGAUGAGUUCCGACUGGUGUGUGUGUGUGUGUGUGUGUGUGUGUCUGAGAGAGAGAGAGAGAGAGAGAGAGAGAGAGAGUGUUUGUGUGUGUGUGUGAGAGAGAGAGAGAGAGAGGGAGAGAGUGUGUAUGUGUGUGUGUGUGUGUGUGUGUGUGUGUGUACCGGGCGGGGAGGGGGGUCCAGAUAUAGAUCGUGACCCUCCCACCUAGUACAGUUUCUUGUAUAUAGUUCCAAAAAGGGAUUGCCAGAGACUUUGUGGUGCAUUUUUGACAAAUGAUUGCUAUGUGGAUAUAGGAACAGGAAUUCUCUGGGUUUUACAAAAACAUUUGGAAGGAGUCUAGUCACUAAAGACGUCUCAGAGUCUUCUUCAUGCUGCCCCAUGCACAUUAUUCACCUCUAUGGUGAAUCCUGGAAAUCUGAAGAUCCACAGAUGUCAUCUGAGGCACCACCUACAAUUUUCUGCUUCUAU
Molecule: long non-coding RNA, 530 nt
Organism: Ictalurus furcatus (blue catfish)
Lineage: Eukaryota; Metazoa; Chordata; Actinopteri; Siluriformes; Ictaluridae
Exons: 3
Source: RefSeq, a predicted model, not a curated record